RNAcentral lists this long non-coding RNA (687 nucleotides) under Gossypium raimondii (Peruvian cotton). Its description in RNAcentral is "long non-coding RNA (GRAI_LNC006249)". The record is from RNAcentral. Lineage: Eukaryota; Viridiplantae; Streptophyta; Magnoliopsida; Malvales; Malvaceae.
AGUAAUCAACCAAGGGAGAUUAUUAUUUUGAGCAAUGCAGCUUAGGCCAUACCAUAAAUCCUUCCUCAAAUUUCUACGGGGACUCCCAUAAACACCUAUAAAGAACACCAAAUCUAUAACAUCAUCAAAUUUAAUUUUCAUGCGAAUAAACUGCAUAUGAUUAACCAUAACUUCGACACAGAUAUUAUCUUUACAUAGAACCCAAAUUCCACCUGAAUAUCCCACAGCUUCCACUUGAUGCGAAUAUGGCACACCAAUACUUUUAAUUGCUCUAUCAGUUUUUAAUCCACUAAUUCGGGUUUCCAUCAAAACCACAACACAAGGAUCUACUUCACGUAAAUACUCCAUAUUUCUACCAAAAUUAGGGUGCCUAGCACCUUGGUAAUUUUAUAAAAAAAUUCUUGACAUUAUAAAAAUCAAAAUAAAAACGGCCAAACCUUUGAGGGCACCAUCACUCAUCUGACGAAUCGUCCAUGAGUAUCGCGUCGCUUUCACCCCAUGGACCACUCUCGAUGGUCGACCUUGAAUUUGUCCAUUGUCAGCUUGGUCCAACACCACCAGUUCUGUGUUCCCCUCUCACGUAUUCACAACUUUACCCUUCACUUUCAGACGAUCCACCAUUCCUUAGAUAACCUGUCAACCAGGAUCCAUGCCAGCUAGGACAUCAAGAUUAUCCCCAUCUCCUCU